GGAAUCUUCCACAAUGGCGCAAGCCUGAUGGAGCAACACCGCGUGAGUGAAGAAGGGUUUCGGCUCGUAAAGCUCUGUUGUUAAAGAAGAACACGUAUGAGAGUAACUGUUCAUACGUUGACGGUAUUUAACCAGAAAGUCACGGCUAACUACGUGCCAG
Molecule: ribosomal RNA, 160 nt
Filed under: uncultured bacterium
Lineage: Bacteria
Description: partial 16S ribosomal RNA
Rfam family: Bacterial small subunit ribosomal RNA
Source: RNAcentral